This is a non-coding RNA of Hypanus sabinus (Atlantic stingray), 74 nucleotides long. Lineage: Eukaryota; Metazoa; Chordata; Chondrichthyes; Myliobatiformes; Dasyatidae. The record is from the annotation of a RefSeq genome assembly.
UGGCGCGUGGCCAAGUGGUUAAGGCGUUAGACUAGCAAUCUGAAGGUCGUGAGUUCGAGCCCCAGCCGAGGCAG